Molecule: regulatory RNA element, 122 nt
Organism: Rahnella aquatilis
Lineage: Bacteria; Pseudomonadati; Pseudomonadota; Gammaproteobacteria; Enterobacterales; Yersiniaceae
Rfam family: Histidine operon leader
About the family: At least 6 amino acid operons are known to be regulated by attenuation. In each a leader sequence of 150-200 bp is found upstream of the first gene in the operon.
Source: Rfam
CCAUCAUCACCAUCACCCUGACUAGUCUUUCAGGCGAUUGGUGCUGGGAGACUGUUUAGAUCUUCCAGUGGCGCAGAACGUAGAGAUAGCCCCCGGAAGAUGACUUCCGGGGGUUUUUUUUU